RNAcentral lists this ribosomal RNA (418 nucleotides) under uncultured bacterium. RNAcentral's name for it is "bacterial SSU rRNA". It matches the Rfam family "Bacterial small subunit ribosomal RNA", at positions 356 to 774 of the family's 1533-position model. The record is from RNAcentral.
GAGGAAUAUUGCACAAUGGUCGCAAGCCUGAUGCAGCGACGCCGCGUGUGGGAUGAAGGGGCUACGCCUCGUAAACCACUGUAGCCCGGGACGAAAAACGCCUUAGAGGCGUUAGCCGGUACCGGGAAAGUAAGGGUCGGCUACCUACGUGCCAGCAGCCGCGGUCAUACGUAUGAUCCAAGCGUUGUCCGGAUUUACUGGGUGUAAAGGGUGCGCAGGCGGAUGGGUAAGUCAGGGGUGAAAGUCUGCAGCUUAACUGUAGAAUUGCCUUUGAUACUGCUCAUCUUGAGUGUGGGAGAGGUUGAUGGAAUUCCAGGUGUAGCAGUGAAAUGCGUAGAUAUCUGGAAGAACACCAGUGGCGAAGGCGGUCAACUGGCCCAUAACUGACGCUCAUGCACGAAAGCGUGGGGAGCAAACA